Molecule: ribosomal RNA, 574 nt
Filed under: uncultured bacterium
Lineage: Bacteria
Description: partial 16S ribosomal RNA
Rfam family: Bacterial small subunit ribosomal RNA
Source: RNAcentral
UGGGGAAUAUUGCACAAUGGGCGCAAGCCUGAUGCAGCGACGCCGCGUGAGGGAUGACGGCCUUCGGGUUGUAAACCUCUUUCAAUAGGGACGAAGCGCAAGUGACGGUACCUAUAGAAGAAGGACCGGCCAACUACGUGCCAGCAGCCGCGGUAAUACGUAGGGUCCGAGCGUUGUCCGGAAUUACUGGGCGUAAAGAGCUCGUAGGUGGUUUGUCGCGUUGUUCGUGAAAAACUCACAGCUUAACUGUGGGCGUGCGGGCGAUACGGGCAGACUAGAGUACUGCAGGGGAGACUGGAAUUCCUGGUGUAGCGGUGGAAUGCGCAGAUAUCAGGAGGAACACCGGUGGCGAAGGCGGGUCUCUGGGCAGUAACUGACGCUGAGGAGCGAAAAGCGUGGGGAGCGAACAGGAUUAGAUACCCUGGUAGUCCACGCCGUAAAACGGUGGGUACUAGGUGUGGGUUUCCUUCCUUGGGAUCCGUGCCGUAGCUAACGCAUUAAGUACCCCGCCUGGGGAGUACGGCCGCAAGGCUAAAAACUCAAAAGGAAUUGACGGGGGUCAUAGCUGUUUCCU